Molecule: ribosomal RNA, 506 nt
Filed under: uncultured bacterium
Lineage: Bacteria
Description: partial 16S ribosomal RNA
Rfam family: Bacterial small subunit ribosomal RNA
Source: RNAcentral
AUUGAACGCUGGCGGCAGGCCUAACACAUGCAAGUCGGACGGUAGCACAGAGGAGCUUGCUCCUCGGGUGACGAGUGGCGGACGGGUGAGUAAUGUCUGGGGAUCUGCCCGAUAGGGGGGGAUAACCACUGGAAACGGUGGCUAAUACCGCAUAACGUCGCAAGACCAAAGAGGGGGACCUUCGGGCCUCUCACUAUCGGAUGAACCCAGAUGGGAUUAGCUAGUAGGCGGGGUAAUGGCCCACCUAGGCGACGAUCCCUAGCUGGUCUGAGAGGAUGACCAGCCACACUGGAACUGAGACACGGUCCAGACUCCUACGGGAGGCAGCAGUGGGGAAUAUUGCACAAUGGGCGCAAGCCUGAUGCAGCCAUGCCGCGUGUAUGAAGAAGGCCUUCGGGUUGUAAAGUACUUUCAGCGGGGAGGAAGGCGGUGAGGUUAAUAACCUUGCCGAUUGACGUUACCCGCAGAAGAAGCACCGGCUAACUCCGUGCCAGCCGCCGCGGUAA